RNAcentral lists this small RNA (125 nucleotides) under Marmota monax (woodchuck). The record is from RNAcentral. Lineage: Eukaryota; Metazoa; Chordata; Mammalia; Rodentia; Sciuridae.
GCCCGGUGUGGUGGCGCAUGCCUGUAAUCCCAGCAGCUGGGGAGGCUGAGGCAGGAGGAUCAUGAGUUUGAAGCCAGCCUCAGCAACUGUGAGGUUCUAAGCAACUCAGUGAGACCCUGUCUUUA